UGCAUGUUCAGGAUAGUUUUGC
RNAcentral lists this non-coding RNA (22 nucleotides) under Arabidopsis thaliana (thale cress). The record is from RNAcentral. Lineage: Eukaryota; Viridiplantae; Streptophyta; Magnoliopsida; Brassicales; Brassicaceae.